This 300-nucleotide long non-coding RNA is filed under the name Fukomys damarensis (Damara mole-rat). RNAcentral's name for it is "lncRNA (ENSFDAG00000028784.1)". Lineage: Eukaryota; Metazoa; Chordata; Mammalia; Rodentia; Bathyergidae. The record is from RNAcentral.
CCCACAGCCUACUGGUGCCCAUGAGGCAAAGCAGCUCAUGGAAGAGCCUUCUCUCCUGUGGACUCCACUCACACCCAGGCUUGGGGCAACUCAGUGAGCGGCCAGAGCAGCACCCCCAAAGGUGCCUGGAUGCCAGUCAAGGCUACUAUGGGGGAGAAAAGCCAUCAGAGGGCCUGCCCUGUCCGGGAGGAAGACUGUCCGGCCGCCUGGCUUGAGUGUCCCAUCAUAGCUUCCACUCGGUUCAGCACCUCAGCACUGGUUAGAGGAGUCUGCAUGUAAGGACUGCUGAUGCUGGCCGAG